Felis catus (domestic cat) is the source of this 1267-nucleotide long non-coding RNA. RefSeq lists it as uncharacterized. NCBI's taxonomy places the organism in Eukaryota, Metazoa, Chordata, Mammalia, Carnivora, Felidae. The transcript is spliced from 2 exons. The record is from RefSeq and is a predicted model, not a curated record.
GGUCCUUGGACCUAGAGCGUCUCUAGGGGCCGCAUCCCCACCCACCUCCACCCACCCUCCCCUUGAAUUUGCAUCUCUGGCAGCCACAGCCCCAGUGACUCAGUCUGGAUCCUUGUUAAAGGCCCCAAGCUUGUCCCCAGGAGGCCUGGGGAAGCAGGCAGGCCCCUCUCCAGCUGCCAGCCCCUCCUGCAGGAGUCUGGGUCCCAGGGCCUCUUCCAGCUGCCCAGUCUUGAAAGCCUAAUAUGCAAUGACCUAAAAAUAAAUAUUUCUUUAAAUUCGAAAAUAUACUUCCAAUGGAUAUUUCACUGUGUGGAAGGACUACAAUAUGAAGUUAAGUACAGAUAGUCGCUAAGAGCGUGGGCAGUGAAGUAAGGAAAAGGAGGGCUCUACCCUGCUCUGCCACUCAAAAGCUGUGCCAUCAUAAGCAAGUUGCUUUAUGUCUCUGGAUGUUUCCCUGAGGAGAGAUUAGUUCCUACCUCCUAGGGCAAGAGCACUAAAUAAGAAAAUGAAUGUGAGGGGCACCUGGGUGGCUCAAUCAGUUCAGAGUGGAUUCUGGCUCAGGUCAUGAUCUCACGGUUGGUGAGUUUGAGCCCUGUAUCUGGCUCCUUGCUGAUGGUAUGGAGCUUGCUUGGGAUUCUGUCUCUCUGCCCCUUCUCUGCUCACUCUCUCUCAAAAAUAAACUUAAAAAAAAAAAAAAAAGAAAGAAAAUGAAUGUGAACUGCCUUGAAUUACAAGGCUGAGCAAGCAUACAGUAGGAGCUGUUUCAUAACAGUAAUAUUUUGCCAACUGUAUAGUAUUUUACAGGCUUCACAGCAGCUGCCUGGGCCACAAGGAAGUUCCUGGUAGAGAGGGAUCGGGCCCCCACACCCGCCCGGGGACCACAAGUUCCCAGACCAAAGAAACUGGCUGGGGCUCCGUUAGAAGGAAGCCCCCCAACCCACUUCCCAGGCGCUGGAUUCCAGGCGUCCCACCCACACACAGGUGCCGCUUUGAGCAGCUGGCUGCGAGUCUAUCGACAGGCUUUACCAUUUUAGGCGACACACUUCCUGGACCUCUGCCUUGCACUCUCAACACCCAGCUGUCACCUUGCCCUGGCCCCUGGAAGUCGCUCCUCUGCUUAGAAGCUGUACCACCAUGUCCCCUCACACUUAGGAGCGAAGGGUACCCGAGGCCCGGGCUCCAUCAGGGGCUCUCUCGGUCCCCGAGUGGUCCUCGUGCUCUCAGGCCAGCCUGGCCCGACCUGAGGGAACUGGAUGUGCUGGGGUGG